Molecule: transfer RNA, 83 nt
Filed under: Chloroflexota bacterium
Lineage: Bacteria; Bacillati; Chloroflexota
Also listed under: 2 other names
Description: Chloroflexi bacterium tRNA-Leu
Rfam family: tRNA
About the family: Transfer RNA (tRNA) molecules are approximately 80 nucleotides in length. Their secondary structure includes four short double-helical elements and three loops (D, anti-codon, and T loops).
Source: RNAcentral
GGGGCGGUGGCGGAACGGUAGACGCCGGGGACUUAAAAUCCUCUGUCCGCAAGGACGUGUGGGUUCAAAUCCCACCCGCCCUA